GUGGGGAAUCUUGCGCAAUGGGCGAAAGCCUGACGCAGCCAUGCCGCGUGAAUGAUGAAGGUCUUAGGAUUGUAAAAUUCUUUCACCGGGGACGAUAAUGACGGUACCCGGAGAAGAAGCCCCGGCUAACUUCGUGCCAGCAGCCGCGGUAAUACGAAGGGGGCUAGCGUUGCUCGGAAUUACUGGGCGUAAAGGGCGCGUAGGCGGACAGUUUAGUCAGAGGUGAAAGCCCAGGGCUCAACCUUGGAGUUGCCUUUGAUACUGGCUGUCUUGAGUACGGGAGAGGUGAGUGGAACUCCGAGUGUAGAGGUGAAAUUCGUAGAUAUUCGGAAGAACACCAGUGGCGAAGGCGACUCACUGGCCCGUUACUGACGCUGAGGCGCGAAAGCGUGGGGAGCAAACAGGAUUAGAAACCCCUGUAGUCC
RNAcentral lists this ribosomal RNA (425 nucleotides) under uncultured bacterium. Its description in RNAcentral is "partial 16S ribosomal RNA". It matches the Rfam family "Bacterial small subunit ribosomal RNA", at positions 354 to 796 of the family's 1533-position model. The record is from RNAcentral.